GGAUGAAGAACGUAGCGAAAUGCGAUACUUGGUGUGAAUUGCAGAAUCCCGUGAACCAUCGAGUCUUUGAACGCAAGUUGCGCCCGAAGCCAUCAGGUUGAGGGCACGUCUGACUGGGCGUCACAUAUCGUUGCCCAAUGCCUAUUGCAGUGCAAUAGGAAUUUCUAGGGCGAAUGAUGGCUUCCCGUGAGCGUUGUUGCCUCGCGGUUGGUUGAAAAUCGAGUCCUUGGUAGGGUGUGCCAUGGUAGAUGGUGGUCGAGUUAGAACGAUACCGAUCAUGUGCAUGCUCCCCAAAAUAUGGCCUCUAUGACCCACACGCGUCUUUUGACGCUCAUGACGAGACCUCAGGUCAGGCGGGGCUACCCGCUGAAUUUAAGCAUAUCAAUAAGCGGAGGA
Molecule: unclassified non-coding RNA, 396 nt
Filed under: soil metagenome
Description: partial contains 5.8S ribosomal RNA, internal transcribed spacer 2, and large subunit ribosomal RNA
Rfam family: 5.8S ribosomal RNA (bases 2-123)
Source: RNAcentral